AACUGGCUGUUGGGCAGAUAAUCGCUAUCAUGAGAGCUAUGUAGUGGAGACAGCAUACCGUGAUCAAGGAGAUGAUGAACUUAAUGAGGGUUUCACAUACGAGGAGCUUCUCAACAUGCAAAAAACGCGAUGAAACAUAUCAAAAUCAAGCAGCAGUUGCUUGGGAAAGAACACGCUUCAGCCAUCCGAUCGACAGGGACAGCUGUCCAUCGAU
This 214-nucleotide long non-coding RNA is filed under the name Brassica napus (rape). Its description in RNAcentral is "long non-coding RNA (BNAP_LNC011553)". The record is from RNAcentral. Lineage: Eukaryota; Viridiplantae; Streptophyta; Magnoliopsida; Brassicales; Brassicaceae.